RNAcentral lists this ribosomal RNA (684 nucleotides) under Carnobacterium sp. EK-I53. RNAcentral's name for it is "bacterial SSU rRNA". It matches the Rfam family "Bacterial small subunit ribosomal RNA", at positions 38 to 695 of the family's 1533-position model. The record is from RNAcentral. Lineage: Bacteria; Bacillati; Bacillota; Bacilli; Lactobacillales; Carnobacteriaceae.
GGGGCGGCUGCUAUACUGCAGUCGAACGCUUCUUUUCUACCGGGUGCUUGUCCCACCAGAGAAGAAGAGUGGGGGACGGUUGAGUAACACGUGGGGAACCUGCCCAUAAGUGGGGGAUAACAGCCGGAAACGGCUGCUAAUACCGCAUAAUUCCAGUGAUCUCCUGAUCGUUGGUUGAAAGGUAGCUUCGGCUAUGGCUUAUGGAUGGACCCGCGGCGUAUUAGCUAGUUGGUGAGGCAAUGGCUCACCAAGGCAAUGAUACGUAGCCGACCUGAGAGGGUGAUCGGCCACACUGGGACUGAGACAUAGCCCAGACUCAUACGGGAGGCAGCAGUAGGGAAUCUUCCGCAAUGGACGAAAGUCUGACGGAGCAAUGCCGCGUGAGUGAAGAAGGUUUUCGGAUCGUAAAACUCUGUUGUUAGAGAAGAACAAGGAUGAGAGUAACUGCUCAUCCCCUGACGGUAUCUAACCAGAAAGCCACGGCUAACUACGUGCCAGCAGCCGCGGUAAUACGUAGGUGGCAAGCGUUGUCCGGAUUUAUUGGGCGUAAAGCGAGCGCAGGCGGUUCUUUAAGUCUGAUGUGAAAGCCCCCAGCUCAACUGGGGAAGGUCAUUGGAAACUGGGGAACUUGAGUGCAGAAGAGGAGAGUGGAAUUCCACGUGUAGCGGUAAAAAUGGCGUAGAA